This 524-nucleotide ribosomal RNA is filed under the name uncultured bacterium. Its description in RNAcentral is "bacterial SSU rRNA". It matches the Rfam family "Bacterial small subunit ribosomal RNA", at positions 1 to 518 of the family's 1533-position model. The record is from RNAcentral.
CCUUGGUCUCAGAGAGUUUGAUUCUGGCUCAGGAUGAACGCUGGCGGCGUGCCUAACACAUGCAAGUCGAGCGGGAAUCACCGGAUUGAAACUUCGGUCGAAAGACGGUGAGGAUAGCGGCGGACGGGUGAGUAACGCGUAGGUAACCUGCCCCUUACACAGGGAUAGCCUCGGGAAACUGGGAUUAAUACCUGAUAAUGCGGAGGAGUCACAUGGCUCUUACGCCAAAGAUUUAUCGGUGAGGGAUGGACCUGCGUCUGAUUAGCUUGUUGGUGAGGUAACGGCCCACCAAGGCAACGAUCAGUAGCCGACCUGAGAGGGUAAUCGGCCACAUUGGAACUGAGACACGGUCCAAACUCCUACGGGAGGCAGCAGUGGGGAAUAUUGCACAAUGGGCGCAAGCCUGAAUGCAGCAACGCCGCGUGAGCGAAGAAGGUCUUCGGAUCGUAAAGCUCUGUCCUCAGGAACGAAGAAGUGACGGUACCUGAGGAGGAAGCCCCGGCUAACUACGUGCCAGCCGCCGC